UGUCGAUGUUAUGAGUGAUUUUACUGCUAAAAUUAGGCAGUUUGGAGCUAGAGCUUCGGGAGGUGCUGCGGUCUGCAUAGCAAUUGGGAAGAACGAGCUGGAAGUAUUUGAAGAACAAAAAGCUGAACUGUCCUGCUUGUGCUGGGACUGCUCUCUCCCCUAGCAGGAGAGAAAACACUUGUCUGUUAAGGACGGUGAAAGGUGCUCUUACAGCAGAAUGAACAACACUGAUGUUAGAGCAUGUGGAAUUAAGCUGAAGGGUUCCUCAGCAGGCUGAAUAGCUUCUGACUCAUUUGCAUCCACUCAAGCUUUGCAAAGCUAACCAGAAGUAUCCACAGAUAUUUUGCAAAUAAAACCUGUGGACUCAAGCCAAGGAGACCAAAGACACUCUGCAAACUCCCUGCCAGAUUUUGGGUAAUGAGGAAUGUUCAUGGAAAGCAAAAACACUGCUCUCGGUCAAGGGAUGUGUUUCAUCUAUUCUGGAGGAUUUGAGUCAUAAUUUGAAGACGCAAGGAAGGCUGCUCUAGGAGUGGAACGGGAGAACAAAACUCUCCCAACAAAGAGCUGCAAAAGGGCCAGUUACUCUGAGCAUCAAGGGUGGUGAGGAAGGGAGUGUGCUCACUAGUCUUCUUGCAACCCACCAGCUCAACAGCACCUGGGCAAGGAAGUGCCUUUCUGUGCCCCUCUAGAAAAAAUGAGGACUGGGAGGGCUGCUGAUCAGCAGUGCUCUCCCAGGAAUACCCUCCCACAUCUGCAUUGCCUGGAGAAUGGGGCUGAUAUGUAGUUGCAAGUCCUCUCUUAGAAGCUGUCCAAGCUAGUGUUCCUCGGGGGCUAGUAGAGGGUGAGGCACAGCAGUGUUGGUAUUUUCUAUAUAUUUUUCUUGUCCAGCAUCACUUUUUUUCUUAAUGGCUCAUUUUCUGCAUUUUUUUUCACCUGCUCAUUAUGUUCUGGUUCUGCUCUUUUCCACCUAGACCCGCAUCCCUCUGGCUAUUUCUCCUCUUUUUUCUUUUAAUUGGGCUGACCAAAACCUUGUCAUAGCCUUGUUAAAUUACAAUAGAGGAAUUGCCCUGCAAAACAAAUGCCACGUGAUAUGUAAAAUCCUGCCUCUCUCCAAGACAAGUUGCUCUUCUGUUGGCCCUGGUGUUGUCAGUGUUGUAUCCUGAGGGUAUGGGGUGUGCUCAGCUUACAUCUAAGGGGAAUUUUACAUUACGGGGUCAGCAGUCAAUGAGACCCAAAUACUGCAUCAGGUGUGAGUCAGUCUAGAGACCUCCAGCAGCUUCUCCCCCCUUUCAGGGCUGCGACCUGAUGCUGCAGUAGUCUAAUCCAUCACAAGAAAAGAACAAGCUUUUUCUGCCUUUUGACAGAAACAGUCAGAUGAUCUGCUCCUGAUAACUACGGAUCUGCUCACGUGGAGAAAACAUCACUGCUAGUUACUCCACAUGCUUCUGAAUCCCUCCAGUGAAUUUGAUCCGUCCCCACUUUUGACCUGUGGCUGGCACUUUUACAGGCAGCUUCCCCUCUGUCAUCUAUGAUGCCUUUAGGUAAUGAUGAGUUGCAUCCAUGCUCGUCAGCCAGCCAGCACACUUGUGCUGAUGGGUCGCCAGCUGCUGCCAAGCACGGCUUAUAACAGGCAGCAAGAACACUUUCUGGACUGCUCUCCUCUCUCCAGAUGCCAAUUUUCACAAAACUUGUACCAAUCUAACAUCCUGGAAACAUCAACUCUUCAGUGAGAUUGAUUGGCGAGUUAAAAUUUAUUAGAGGAGGAUUGAAAAGUACAUGAAUAAUCUGAUCUCUUAAACAUUAUGGCUGUAGUGAAUCAGGCCAAAAAGGAAAAGCUGCAUAUAUUAUACGAGCAAUCAGGAGUUAUUUCUUGUCUUUAUCUCUUCCCACCUCCCCACCCCCUUUUUAUUCCUUUACAGAAGAUCAGAUGUAUUACAGCUUAAAUUCUGUAAUUCUUUGUUGAGGAAUCAGAAUCUAACUUAAUGUUUUCAGUUACUGCUUCUGCUGCAGAAAAUAUCUUAAAUGUAUGCUCUGCCAGAAUUGUGUAACUGCUUUAGCUUGUUAAGACCCCUUGCUCUGAACUUCUCUAAAAUACAACAGCAGAGCUGCAGUUGGUUUCAUUUGUGAGUGACCUGCAAAUCUAUACAGUGUCUGUUACAAAAGUUAUCUCACUUUAUCAGGACAGCAAAGAACAUGUUCUUUGGAGGUUUAAAGAAUGUUAUUUUUGUUAGCUAAUCAAGGUCUAGAUGUUGAGCUUUAGGCUGUUGUCGUUUAGUGUGUUGUAUUUGCAGUGUUACUUAAAACUAGCUAUAAAAAAUGUUUGCUCCUUUUAAGGGGUUGGAUGGCAAAUCCCAUCCCAUCCUUCCACUGGACAUAGUGAGUUGUAAUUGGUAUGAUUACUUUGUCUAAAGGCUCUUCUUCCAUGUAAGGCAUUCAUAAUUUGAUCCACUCGUGUGUCACUGCCUGUCCAUGGGGCACGUUUACUCACAUACAGCACCAAGUUUAUGCACCUUUUAGCCUCUGGACCCAAACUCUGGUGGCUUCUGGCUAGCUUAGACAAGCUCUGUUCUGACUCCUGUCCUCUUUUACAUCAUCCUCCAUGUGUCCUGUACCAUCAAUAUAAGGCAUAACCCCAAAUCAAACUUUUCAAAGCUUACAUGCAUAUCUUCUUGAAUCAAGCCCCUUCCAGGAAGUAUGGGCUUCUUUCCUGAUUUUAACCAAAUACAUUGUGUGCAUCAUCGUUCCCAAAGCAGAAUUAUGAUAUCCCAUGAGCAUGACUGUCAGUCUCAUCUCACUACCUUAGUUCUCUCUGGACAUCAUCCCAGGCUGCCCGUUACUCUUGACCUACCUGUAUUUGGCUAGUAUUUAUCCCAUCUAUGCUUUGUGGCACUAGAGGAUAUUCCUCUCUCUGAUAAUAAUCCCAAUGGAAAAGCUGUCUUUGACUUCUGGCAGGCACAGGCUCCUGAAAUGGCAGUGACAUUCUGUAGCAAAAUGUCAGGGUUUGCAGCCAUUCUUGGAAUAAUUUUCAGUGCAAGUUCUGCUCAGAAUACAGUAACAAAUGGUAAUAAAAGCUGAAUCAGAGAUAAUGAUGCUCUGCAGUCAGUCAAUUCCAAAUUCCACUCUGAUAUGAAUGCCACCCAGUGAAUGUUCAGAUGCCUCACAAGUUUCACAUGCAAAAUCCAAAGUCUUCCUUGAGUUUGAUUUUCAUUUAAUUCUGCAAAUUGCCUGGUUGCUACAAACUGGAAUUCACUAUUGGACAAGUCCAAGAUUUGCAGAGAAUGCCAUGCCAGAAGGAUGUGUUGAUGAAAUGGAGUGGCACAGAAGAUUGAAUCCUGAGUUAAGGCAUGGCACGUGACGUAGCAAAGAAGAAAUGAGCAAAGAAAACCACUGAGCAGCUUCAUUUCUACCUUCCAGUAGUGUAGGCUUCAGAACACUCACCAUGCUUUGACUUCCCCUGCAGGGAGCCUGGUCUAACAGCCAGAGCUGCACUGAUCAUCUCACUGUUCAGAAUAAACAAAGUGGUUUCGAAGUCAUCAGAGUUCCUCUCCCUGUCUUCAUAAGCCCAUCUGAAAAACGGGAAGGUUUGUGCCAAGACAGAAAAAAAAAAUAAAAUCUGUUUAAGUUCUGUUUUUCUGAAUAAUAUGCAAACCUCUUCCCUUUCCUGAAACUCUCGUGUCUUCUAUUCUUUGCUUUAAUUUCAAGCUUUCUUGAAGGUCAUGAAAUGUGUUUGGCUUCUCAGACCUCUCUUGUGGAGUCUAGCAUACACAAAACCAUUUGUCCUGUUUUAUUAAUAAACCACACAAAACAGCCUCCUCCCUCUGAGUUGGAUUCUAUUUGAAAUAUGUACUUUCGAGUUUUAUUUUGUAAACUGAGUGCAUAAAUAUCAGUGGUUGUCGUGUGGAGUGCCUUUGGGAUGAAAGGCAAGAACGCAGCUAUAAUACAUCUUAAAUGAUGAAGUACGUCAGUCUCUGAAGUGCUGUUAGUGUCUAAUUGGAACAUAUUAGGUCAAAACCUUAUUAUUUCAACAAAAGUAAAACGGUGGUACAAGAGCCCUUCGUGUGCAUGUGGACAGCAGUGAGAGGGCAUGAACAAAGAGGAGAGAUGAGCAGGUUUGCAUGCUGUUUAAUGAGGAAAAUGCAGUAUGUGCAUCUUUCUGGCAUUACUGGAAAACAACUCAUUUUUCUAUUGAAUUAUUUCAAAUGACAAAGCAAAAUCGUCUUUUACUGUAAGCAUCUGGAAUUGUUAACCAGUGUGUGUCACAGCUUUGGUAACAAUCGAGAAGCGUGUGAGCUUUUUAUCCCAUAAUCCAGGGUGCUUAGAGGGAGAGAAAGUCUCCUGCAAACCUGAAUUGCUGUGCUGACAUCUGUAACAAAGCUGGGAAGCUCUCAUUUUAAGGCGUCCAUGCCUCAAGAAGGGAAAGAAAGAUAUGUUUCAGUGCUGUUGCUCAGAUUUGCUUUAUGACGAAGUUUUCACAGAGCCGGGAGAUUCCCUUCUGUGCUGAUAAAUAUAGCAUUAACCAAAAACCUCUAAUGAUUCGUCUUAUAGAACAGAUACACAUGACAAGUAAUUUGCAAAGGUGGCAGCUGAACCUACGCAAGACAGAUGUCUCGGUGCUCACUGAAAG
Molecule: long non-coding RNA, 4624 nt
Organism: Anas platyrhynchos (mallard)
Lineage: Eukaryota; Metazoa; Chordata; Aves; Anseriformes; Anatidae
Source: RefSeq, a predicted model, not a curated record